AGUGAACGCUGGCGGUAGGCCUAACACAUGCAAGUCGAACGGCAGCACAGUAAGAGCUUGCUCUUACGGGUGGCGAGUGGCGGACGGGUGAGGAAUACAUCGGAAUCUACUUUUUCGUGGGGGAUAACGUAGGUAAACUUACGCUAAUACCGCAUACGACCUACGGGUGAAAGCAGGGGAUCUUCGGACCUUGCGCGAUUGAAUGAGCCGAUGUCGGAUUAGCUAGUUGGCGGGGUAAAGGCCCACCAAGGCGACGAUCCGUAGCUGGUCUGAGAGGAUGAUCAGCCACACUGGAAAUGAGACACGGUCCAGACUCCUACGGGAGGCAACAGUGGGGAAUAUUGGACAAUGGGCGCAAGCCUGAUCCAGCCAUACCGCGUGGGUGAAGAAGGCCUUCGGGUUGUAAAGCACUUUUGUUGGGAAAGAAAAGAAGCAGGUUAAUACCCCGCUGUUCUGACGGUACCAAAAGAAUAAGCACCGGCUAACUUCGUG
This 492-nucleotide ribosomal RNA is filed under the name uncultured bacterium. RNAcentral describes it as "partial 16S ribosomal RNA". It matches the Rfam family "Bacterial small subunit ribosomal RNA", at positions 29 to 507 of the family's 1533-position model. The record is from RNAcentral.